Molecule: RNA transcript, 2204 nt
Organism: Malania oleifera
Lineage: Eukaryota; Viridiplantae; Streptophyta; Magnoliopsida; Santalales; Ximeniaceae
Gene name: ATP-dependent 6-phosphofructokinase 4, chloroplastic
Exons: 15
Source: RefSeq, a predicted model, not a curated record
GUUUCAACUUUCAACAACGCCGCCUCAACUUCUUCUCUCGAAACGUAUAAAGACUCACUCUGGUUGAACGCAUUUGAUCAUCCCCUUCUUCCCAAUCUUUCCUCUCUCUCUCUCUCUCUGAAGCCUGAAGUCUCAUGGAUUUUUCUGUUGUUUCCUCUACUUCAUUUCCUUUCUUUCCCCCUGGACUCCCCCUCAAAACUCACGCUCUGAUACCGUCCCUUAAUCAACCCAGUUCAAACUUCAAUCCCAGAAUCUUUCUCAGAAACCCAUUGAGUCACGUUAUCAGAGCUCAAAAUUCGCUUCAAGCCACUGUCGGGGAUUUCGUUCUUGAAGACGUUCCUCACUUGACGCAUUUCCUCCCUGAUUUACCGUCUUACCCAAACCCAUUGCAAAGGCGCUCAUCUUAUGCCAUUGUCAAGCAGUAUUUCGUCAGCCCAGAAGAUGUGGUGGCACAAAAGAUUGUUGUUCAAAAGGAUAGCCCUAGAGGGGCUCACUUUCGGCGUGCAGGCCCUCGAGAAAAGGUUUAUUUCAAUCCAGACGAAGUGCGUGCUUGCAUAGUGACUUGUGGUGGUUUAUGCCCCGGAAUCAAUACAGUGAUACGGGAGAUAGUGUGUGGUCUAAAUAAUAUGUAUGGUGUUGAUGAUAUACUUGGGAUUGAGGGAGGAUAUAGAGGAUUUUACUCUAAGAAUACUAUGCAAUUGACACCUAAACUUGUCAAUGAUAUCCAUAAACGUGGUGGCACCUUUCUUCAGACUUCACGUGGAGGUCAUGAUACAAACAAGAUAGUUGAUAACAUUCAGGAUCGAGGAAUAAAUCAGGUGUAUAUAAUUGGAGGGGAUGGGACUCAAAAGGGAGCAGCUGUUAUUUACAAGGAAGUUGUGAAACGUGGCCUUCAAGUGGCAGUGGCUGGCAUUCCCAAGACAAUCGAUAAUGAUAUUGCUGUGAUAGACAAAUCUUUCGGUUUUGACACUGCUGUUGAAGAAGCUCAGAGGGCCAUUAAUGCAGCACAUGUGGAAGUAGAAAGUGUGGAAAAUGGCGUUGGAAUCGUUAAACUUAUGGGCCGGUACAGUGGGUUUAUUGCUAUGUUUGCAACUUUGGCAAGCCGAGAUGUGGAUUGCUGCUUGAUUCCAGAGUCUCCAUUCUAUCUUGAAGGCCAGGGUGGGAUUUUUGAAUUUGUCGAACAGCGUCUUAGAGAAAAUGGGCAUGUAGUUAUUGUGCUGGCGGAGGGAGCAGGACAGGAAUAUGUCGCUCAGAGCAUGCGUGCUGUUGGAGAGAAAGAUGCAUCAGGGAACCAGUUACUCCUAGAUGUUGGUCCGUGGAUAUCCCAAAGGAUUAAGGAUCAUUUCACAAAGCAGAAGAUGACGAUUAAUAUGAAAUAUAUAGAUCCAACAUACAUGAUCCGAGCUAUUCCAAGUAAUGCCUCAGACAAUAUCUACUGCACAUUGCUUGCUCAGAGUGCUGUUCAUGGGGCCAUGGCAGGCUAUACGGGCUUCACAGUUGGGCCUGUUAACAGCAAACAUGCUUAUAUACCCAUUUCCCGGGUGACAGAGACUCGGACCAUCAAAUUGACAGAUAGGAUGUGGGCGAGACUUCUUGCAUCAACAAACCAGCCCAGUUUCAUGAAUGUCAAUGAUGAGAUGGAACAAAGAGUUGACAAACAGACCACUGAAGUGAUCAACAAUGCAACGAUUAAGUCAACUUAGAUUUUAGAAGGUUCUAACCAAUUGAACUCUUUAUCUUAGAAGGAUCAACACCUCUGGAAAGGGAAUUAAACUCGUCCAACAAAAGAAUAGCAGCAGAUAAAAGGAUCUAAGAGCGUCAAGAGAUGUUUAAGGCUUCAAACGAGUCAAAAAGUUUGCGAGUUAUUUGGUCCUCAACUCAAUAAUGGUUUAUUCGAACUCAUUGACCAAGAUAAAAUGAGCCAAAUUCAAACUUUAAUUUGGAACUCGCCAACUAAUAAACUCAAACUCGAGCUCGAUCAUACCUGGCUUGUGCCUUUGAUUGUUUAACUAGUUUGCUAGUUGGCCAGUUUAUAGGCUCAAUGAUAUGCAUGCUCUGUAGGCACAUGAUUUAAUUUGUUUAGCCAGCUCAAAAAUUGAUUUGUUUGCAUCAUAUUAAUAGGAUCAUUUAUAACAUGACUUAGAAUUCCUUUUAGAUGUACUUCACUGUAGAUAUAUUUAGUUUAUAGAAGUGUUUUCUCUCAA